UUCGUAGGCGGUGCGGCAAGUUGGGAGUGAAAUCUCUGGGCUUAACUCAGAGGCUGCUUCCAAAACUGCCGUGCUUGAGUGUGAGAGAGGCUCGUGGAAUUGCAGGUGUAGCGGUGAAAUGCGUAGAUAUCUGCAGGAACACCCGUGGCGAAAGCGGCGAGCUGGAUCACAACUGACGCUGAGGAACGAAAGCUAGGGGAGCAAACAGGAUUAGAUACCCUGGUAGUCCUAGCCCUAAACGAUCAGGACUUGGGGUGCCGCCCGUUCGGGCGUCGUCCCGGAGCUAACGCGUUAAGUCCUGCACCUGGGGAGUACGGUCGCAAGACUGAA
This 330-nucleotide ribosomal RNA is filed under the name uncultured bacterium. Its description in RNAcentral is "bacterial SSU rRNA". It matches the Rfam family "Bacterial small subunit ribosomal RNA", at positions 568 to 898 of the family's 1533-position model. The record is from RNAcentral.